AUCCAGCUGACGAGUCCCAAACAGGACGAAACAUGCGUCCUGAAU
This 45-nucleotide non-coding RNA is filed under the name Schistosoma margrebowiei. Lineage: Eukaryota; Metazoa; Platyhelminthes; Trematoda; Strigeidida; Schistosomatidae. The record is from RNAcentral.